RNAcentral lists this long non-coding RNA (745 nucleotides) under Mus caroli (Ryukyu mouse). Its description in RNAcentral is "predicted gene 16010 (MGP_CAROLIEiJ_G0004226.1)". Lineage: Eukaryota; Metazoa; Chordata; Mammalia; Rodentia; Muridae. The record is from RNAcentral.
CUCCUCCCUGCUUCCCAGAGCAGAAUCCAGAGCCACCUAUUCUCUCCAAGUUUGUCUCGCAGCCAGGCUGGGGACCGUCCGCGAGCGACUCCCGGACCGGGCAAUCAGUCUUCCCUGCCCCAGCGUCGGAGAUGAACAAUCACCACCAGCGGCUGCUGAGUGCUAGACGCUUUACUCCCACAGCUCCAAAAGCCACAGACGAGCAGACCCCCAGAAAUUAGUCCUCGCCACACAGAUGAGGCAGCUCUGGGAAGCUGGAUGAUGUGAUUGGACUCACAAGGCUAAUAACGCUAGGAGAGCAGCGGUUUCAAACCUACAGUACCAGAGGCUGACCUCAACGCAACGCCCGAGGCUGGGCGCAAACCAACCAGUUCGGAAUGCCAUAAUUCACAGAGACAUUCCCACGGAUCGGGACCAGAGAGUGCCCAAGAGCACCGGGUGUGACCGGUACUGGUGGAUGAUCACCCCUUAGCAGGAGCUGGAGAACACUUACCAUAAAAGAGAGGGCGAGCGCCUGCCUGGGAGGAAUCCCCAGCGCUGGCAGGUCCGGGACUCCCGGGAGAGAGGUCUGCUGCCACUGCCGCCCACGCAGGGGCGCCCGAGCGACCCCGCGGAUGCUGGCUGCUGCUUCUCAACCAGCGGCGCGUCCUCUCGACUUGUACCCGGCGGCAGCGCCCUCUCGCUCCGUAGGGUGCCCUGGAGUUAGGGACGUUCUUGGAGAAGUUGACGCUCAGGAGAGGUCGCC